This 293-nucleotide unclassified non-coding RNA is filed under the name uncultured bacterium. Its description in RNAcentral is "partial contains 16S ribosomal RNA and 16S-23S ribosomal RNA intergenic spacer region". It matches the Rfam family "Bacterial small subunit ribosomal RNA", at positions 74 to 353 of the family's 1533-position model. The record is from RNAcentral.
ACCUCUUCGGAGGUUAGCGGCGGACGGGUGAGUAACACGUGGGCAACCUGCCUAUAAGACUGGGAUAACUUCGGGAAACCGGAGCUAAUACCGGAUAAUUCCUUCCCUCUCAUGAGGGAAGGCUGAAAGACGGUUUCGGCUGUCACUUAUAGAUGGGCCCGCGGCGCAUUAGCUAGUUGAUGAGGUUUUUUUCUCACCAAGGCGGCGAUGCGUAGCCGACCUGAGAGGGUGAUCGGCCACACUGGGACNCAUCCCCUCCCNAGGGACCUACNNGANGCAUCAAGUCAGCUUUG